Molecule: ribosomal RNA, 250 nt
Filed under: uncultured bacterium
Lineage: Bacteria
Description: partial 16S ribosomal RNA
Rfam family: Bacterial small subunit ribosomal RNA
Source: RNAcentral
UACAGAGGGUGCGAGCGUUAAUCGGACUUACUGGGCGUAAAGGGCGUGUAGGUGGACUAACAAGUCGGGUGUGAAAAUUUCAGGCUUAACCUGAGACGGGCAUCCGAAACUGUGAGUCUAGAGUGUGGUAGAGGGAAGUGGAAUUUCCGGUGUAGCGGUGAAAUGCGUAGAUAUCGGAAAGAACACCAGUGGCGAAGGCGGCUUCCUGGACUGACACUGACACUGAGGCGCGAAAGCGUGGGGAGCAAAC